ACACACACACAAACGCAAAGAAAGGUUCGAGAUUUGCCGGCAAUGGUGUCUUGCCUCGGAUCUCCGAUGCCAGUGGCGCUCUCCUGCUUCUGGAUUUAGCGUCUUGUUCGAGCUUUAUUAUUUGUUGUUUUCGUUUGGUUUGAGAUUUUCCUCGUUCUUUUCGUAAGAUUGCUCAUAGAGAUGGCGAAUCCGCGAUGGAAUUCUCAGACAAAUGGAUAUGACACUGCGAUUUGGGCCGCCAAGAUCGCUUUUUGCUUCCUCGGCAUCCUCUCCUUCGGCGCAGCAGCCAGGGCCGCCAUCCCUGCUGCUGCCGGGGCGCUGGCCUCCGCGGUCCCUGGCUUCUGGGAGUUCCUUCGCUCUUGGCUCGCGCCUCCGUACCUGUUCAUCGCCGUCCAUUUGAUCAUCCUUGUCAUCUGGAAGCUCUCCGAUCAGAAGCAGGAGCAUCACCAACACCGCGAGCAAUGGGCGGCGGCUGAGCGCGUGGCGGAGCCUGAGAAUCCUGCAAAGGUCAAAUCUUUCGAGCCUUUGCAUAUUUCUCCCGUGCCCAUUCUCCGGAAACCCUCGCCGGAGAUGUGGCGCGACGAGAUCUCGCCGUCUCUGACAACACCGGCUGUCCGGGCGCCGGAUCCCGGUGAAUUCUCGACGUCCGACGCGUCGUGCCUGACGACGGAGUCCGGAGAGAUUUCCACCGCUUCGUCAGCGUCUGCGGUCAAGAAGAGCGUCGAACCGGAGUCCAUGAGCAGCCUUACGGUGAAGAAAGAUGAGGACGAGGCAGCGGCGGCGGCCACUGCGGCUGGGACAGCGAAUGACUCGAUGGAGGCAACAUGGAAGGCGAUCAUGGAGAAGUCGCCUCGGGCAGCGGAGGUACCGCCACCGACGGCGUCGUCCGGGCGGGGCUCGAGGCAACCGGAGGCCCCUCCCUCAUCUACGGGUCAGGACGAGUUGAACAGGCGAUGCGACGAUUUCAUCAAGAAGAAUUACGAGCAGAUCCGAUUCCUCAGCGGCCGGCGGCUGUAGUUGGAGAUGCAAAUUACUCGUUACGCUAGUCUUCAUCUCUUCUCUUUCUCAACUUAAUCUUCUUUAUAGCUCGUUAAGCCCUUGUAAUGAAAGCUUUUAGUGUAGGGAGACUGCUGUGCUGCUAAAAAUCCUAUUUUUAAGGUACUUCUGAUAUGCUGAACUUAUUCUUGACUUGGUGCUGCUGAUUGGACUGGCUGGUGACUUGUGCUGAUAGAUGGGAUGUUUGGUGGUCUUCAGUCUCACCUUUUGGUCUUCUGUUUGGUACUCUAUUUAACUCACUGUUCAAUACAUGUUUGUUAAGUGAUGGUACAGGAGUAUAUCCUGACAAUGAUCUGGAGUUCAUAUAAGCUUUUUACUUGCCA
Molecule: RNA transcript, 1379 nt
Organism: Musa acuminata subsp. malaccensis (wild Malaysian banana)
Lineage: Eukaryota; Viridiplantae; Streptophyta; Magnoliopsida; Zingiberales; Musaceae
Source: RefSeq, a predicted model, not a curated record